CCUACGGGGGGCAGCAGUAGGGAAUCUUUCACAAUGGGCGAAAGCCUGAUGGAGCAACGCCGCGUGCAGGAUGAAGGCCUUCGGGUUGUAAACUGCUUUUAUAAGCGAGAAAUAUGAUGGUAACUUAUGAAUAAGGAUCGGCUAACUACGUGCCAGCAGCCGCGGUCAUACGUAGGAUCCGAGCAUUAUCCGGAGUGACUGGGUGUAAAGAGUUGCGUAGGUGGCAUAAUAAGUAGCUAGUGAAAUCUGGUGGCUCAACCCCGUCGUGCCGUUGAAACUGAUGUUCUUGAGUGGGCGAGAAGUAUGCGGAAUGCGUGGUGUAGCGGUGAAAUGCAUAGAUAUCACGCAGAACUCCGAUUGCGAAGGCAGCAUACCGGCGCCCAACUGACGCUGAAGCACGAAAGCGUGGGUAUCGAACAGGAUUAGAUACCCUUGUAGUC
RNAcentral lists this ribosomal RNA (440 nucleotides) under uncultured bacterium. Its description in RNAcentral is "partial 16S ribosomal RNA". It matches the Rfam family "Bacterial small subunit ribosomal RNA", at positions 338 to 795 of the family's 1533-position model. The record is from RNAcentral.